Molecule: transfer RNA, 84 nt
Filed under: Lachnospiraceae bacterium
Lineage: Bacteria; Bacillati; Bacillota; Clostridia; Lachnospirales; Lachnospiraceae
Also listed under: 5 other names
Description: tRNA-Leu
Rfam family: tRNA
About the family: Transfer RNA (tRNA) molecules are approximately 80 nucleotides in length. Their secondary structure includes four short double-helical elements and three loops (D, anti-codon, and T loops).
Source: RNAcentral
GGGGAUAUGGCGGAAUCGGCAGACGCAAAGGACUUAAAAUCCUUUGGUGGCAACACCGUGCGGGUUCAAGUCCCGCUGUCCCCA